GGGAUUAUAGCUCAGCUGGUUAGAGCGCACGCCUGAUAAGCGUGAGGUCGAUGGUUCGAGUCCAUUUAAUCCCACCA
Molecule: transfer RNA, 77 nt
Filed under: Clostridium algidicarnis
Lineage: Bacteria; Bacillati; Bacillota; Clostridia; Eubacteriales; Clostridiaceae
Also listed under: 1 other name
Description: tRNA-Ile
Rfam family: tRNA
About the family: Transfer RNA (tRNA) molecules are approximately 80 nucleotides in length. Their secondary structure includes four short double-helical elements and three loops (D, anti-codon, and T loops).
Source: RNAcentral